UACGUAGGGUGCAAGCGUUGUCCGGAAUUAUUGGGCGUAAAGGGCGCGUAGGCGGCUUGGCAAGUGGAUGGUGAAAUCCCUCGGCUUAACCGAGGAACGGCCGUCCAAACUGCUUCGCUUGAGACCGGGAGAGGUGAGUGGAAUUCCCAGUGUAGCGGUGAAAUGCGUAGAUAUUGGGAGGAACACCAGUGGCGAAGGCGGCUCACUGGACCGGUACUGACGCUGAAGCGCGAAAGCGUGGGGAGCAAACGGG
Molecule: ribosomal RNA, 253 nt
Filed under: uncultured bacterium
Lineage: Bacteria
Description: partial 16S ribosomal RNA
Rfam family: Bacterial small subunit ribosomal RNA
Source: RNAcentral